CCUAUGGGCGGCUGCAGUGGGGAAUAUUGGACAAUGGGGGCAACCCUGAUCCAGCCAUGCCGCGUGUGUGAAGAAGGCCCUCGGGUUGUAAAGCACUUUCAGUGAGGAAGAACGCCUGGUGGUUAAUACCCAUCAGGAAAGACAUCACUCACAGAAGAAGCACCGGCUAACUCCGUGCCAGCAGCCGCGGUAAUACGGAGGGUGCGAGCGUUAAUCGGAAUUACUGGGCGUAAAGCGCGCGUAGGUGGCUUGAUAAGCCGGUUGUGAAAGCCCCGGGCUCAACCUGGGAACGGCAUCCGGAACUGUCAAGCUAGAGUGCAGGAGAGGAAGGUAGAAUUCCCGGUGUAGCGGUGAAAUGCGUAGAGAUCGGGAGGAAUACCAGUGGCGAAGGCGGCCUUCUGGACUGACACUGACACUGAGGUGCGAAAGCGUGGGUAGCAAACAGGAUUAGAUACCCCGGUAGUC
This 465-nucleotide ribosomal RNA is filed under the name Vreelandella stevensii. RNAcentral describes it as "partial 16S ribosomal RNA". It matches the Rfam family "Bacterial small subunit ribosomal RNA", at positions 338 to 795 of the family's 1533-position model. The record is from RNAcentral. Lineage: Bacteria; Pseudomonadati; Pseudomonadota; Gammaproteobacteria; Oceanospirillales; Halomonadaceae.